Molecule: ribosomal RNA, 465 nt
Filed under: Vreelandella stevensii
Lineage: Bacteria; Pseudomonadati; Pseudomonadota; Gammaproteobacteria; Oceanospirillales; Halomonadaceae
Description: partial 16S ribosomal RNA
Rfam family: Bacterial small subunit ribosomal RNA
Source: RNAcentral
CCUACGGGGUGCAGCAGUGGGGAAUAUUGGACAAUGGGCGAAAGCCUGUUCCAGCCAUGCCGCGUGUGUGAAGAAGGCCUUCGGGUUGUAAAGCACUUUCAGUGGGGAAGAAAGCCUUGGGGCUAAUACCCUCGAGGAAGGACAUCACCCACAGAAGAAGCACCGGCUAACUCCGUGCCAGCAGCCGCGGUAAUACGGAGGGUGCGAGCGUUAAUCGGAAUUACUGGGCGUAAAGCGCGCGUAGGCGGUCUGAUAAGCCGGUUGUGAAAGCCCCGGGCUCAACCUGGGAACGGCAUCCGGAACUGUCAGGCUAGAGUGCAGGAGAGGAAGGUAGAAUUCCCGGUGUAGCGGUGAAAUGCGUAGAGAUCGGGAGGAAUACCAGUGGCGAAGGCGGCCUUCUGGACUGACACUGACGCUGAGGUGCGAAAGCGUGGGUAGCAAACAGGAUUAGAUACCCCAGUAGUC